RNAcentral lists this transfer RNA (83 nucleotides) under Methanimicrococcus blatticola. It matches the Rfam family "tRNA". From Rfam's summary of the family: Transfer RNA (tRNA) molecules are approximately 80 nucleotides in length. Their secondary structure includes four short double-helical elements and three loops (D, anti-codon, and T loops). Lineage: Archaea; Methanobacteriati; Methanobacteriota; Methanomicrobia; Methanosarcinales; Methanosarcinaceae. The record is from Rfam by way of RNAcentral. RNAcentral also lists the same sequence under 4 other names.
GCGAGGGUUGUCGAGUGGUCAAAGGCGCCGGACUUAAGAUCCGGUUCCGAAGGGAUUCGUGGGUUCAACUCCCACCCCUCGCA